CGGGGCGUAGCGCAGUUGGGAGCGCGCAUGUAUGGGGUACAUGAGGUCGAGAGUUCAAAUCUCUCCGCCCCGA
RNAcentral lists this transfer RNA (73 nucleotides) under Chloroflexota bacterium. Its description in RNAcentral is "Chloroflexi bacterium (freshwater metagenome) tRNA-Pro". It matches the Rfam family "tRNA". Rfam says of the family: Transfer RNA (tRNA) molecules are approximately 80 nucleotides in length. The record is from RNAcentral. Lineage: Bacteria; Bacillati; Chloroflexota.